RNAcentral lists this ribosomal RNA (441 nucleotides) under uncultured bacterium. RNAcentral describes it as "partial 16S ribosomal RNA". It matches the Rfam family "Bacterial small subunit ribosomal RNA", at positions 338 to 795 of the family's 1533-position model. The record is from RNAcentral.
CCUACGGGAGGCAGCAGUGGGGAAUAUUGCACAAUGGGCGAAAGCCUGAUGCAGCAACGCCGCGUGAAGGAAGAAGGCCUUCGGGUCGUAAACUUCUGUCCUUGGGGAAGAAGAACGGUCGGUACCCCUGUAGGAAGCCUCGGCUAACCAAGUGACAACAGCCCCGCUAAUUCGUAGGGGGCAAGCGUGUUGCUGAGUUAUUGGGCGUAAAGAGUACGAAGGUGGCCACCUAAGCGCAGGGUUAAAGGCAAUGACACAACCAUUAGGCGCCCUGCGGACUGGGAAGCUUGAGUGCAGAAGAGGAAAGCGGAAUUCCUAGUGUAGCGGUGAAAUGCGUAGAUAUUAGGAGGAACACCAGUGGCGAAGGCGACUUUCUGGACUGUAACUGACGCUGAGGUGCGAAAGCGUGGGGAGCAAACAGGAUUAGAUACCCUUGUAGUC